This is a long non-coding RNA of Cydia fagiglandana, 5080 nucleotides long. RefSeq lists it as uncharacterized. NCBI's taxonomy places the organism in Eukaryota, Metazoa, Arthropoda, Insecta, Lepidoptera, Tortricidae. The record is from RefSeq and is a predicted model, not a curated record. The transcript is spliced from 2 exons.
UUGGGCUUGCCGAGUGGGUUUUACUAUCUAGCAAGCUUCUCCUCUUCCCUUCCUUCCUCUCUUAAUCCUUCUAUUACGGAACAAAGAAAACCUUCCUUCCACCUCCUGUCCACAUUGAUAAGAGUCGCUAUACACAGCGUUUCUCUAUCCUUUGUCUCGAGACGACUUUAAUGCCCCAACAGCCAAUCUUUUUGGGAUAUAUGACCUAGAACCCGCUGAGGAGCUCAUUGCAGUGGACAAUGUAAUACUUUGGGAGGAGGAUAUCCCCGCGACCGUGCUCUGACGCCACAAAGCUAAGUUUACAAAGACGUUUUCAAACGUAGUCACACGCACCCAUCUCAUCCGCUACCUUACCAUGCUUUUCACUUCAGCCUGAAAAACGCCCCAAAAAACGCUUACUCCGGUUUUCGUAUCCAGGCCAUUAUUGUUUUUAAAAAAAAACGCUUACUCCGAACGCGUUCCGAACUGACCAACUGUUUUUGUUUGUGUAAAUAAAUAUUAUUUUAAUGUUUUUGUUUUUUUUAUUUAUUAUCUGAUGUGGUUUCUUUCACAAGGUCUCAAAGUGAAUAUAUGAUAUUUUUUUAAUAAAUCGAACCAAAUCAUUUUAUAAUUAUAUAAUUAAUUACCUAAUGCACUUGUUAACGAAUUGUAUACCUUUAGAGCAAUAAUUUUAAAUCUUACCAGUACCUAUUCUAGUAAAAUUUUCACACUCGAUGUCUAUUUUUAUCCUAUUAGUAAAAUAUAUUACCGUUUUUACUGCCUCCAUAGUAUUUAUUAGACACGAUUGUUUCCAUAUAUAAUAGUUCAAAUUAUUUACCUAUUUAAAUGCAUAAAGUAGGCGAAUCGAAGACUUUCAAGAUUUAGGGUAGUUAACAUGGUAUAAUAAUACACUCCGCCUGGUACUCUCUUCCCGUCUUUUCGUGGUCACGUGACUGACACAAGCCUACGUCAUCAUACGACAGCGCUAUAUGAUAAUAUGCGAUAGCGCUAUAUGUAUAUAGCGGCCAUGUUGUGACGUAGGCUUGUGUCACUCUGGGAAGAGAAGAUAUGGGUAGUAUAACUGGUUUUAUUUAAUUAUACUUAGCGAAAUUAUGUAUUUAUUAACAUUGCGACGUUGCCGACGUUAUGUUAUCAAAUAUUGCAAUACAAUUAAACAACGAUUUGGUUUAAUCAUAUGGUUUACAAAUAAAAAACAUAUCAUGCACAAAUUGAAGACGAAAUGCUGACAGUCUGCAUAUCAUAAAAUAUACAAAAAUUAGACUAUCCAAAAUGUUUUCGGAAAUGUCAAAGAAUUUAUAGAAGAAAAAUACGCCAAAAUUUUUCGAAAAUCUGUGUGUGUAGCCAACGGUGCCAGUAGCAAACGUACUUGAAAACAUAUUUCCAUUCUCUUUCUUCAUAGUGAUGAUGCUAGCGUAAGAAAGAGAUGACUGGAUUGUUAAAUGAUCUAUCAUAAGAUAUACCUACUUUACUACGUGCAAGUGACGACUAGGCCAGGGCUAUAACCGCGAAAAUCGGAGUUCGCAAAUUGCGGGCAUAUCUUUCUCUGUCACUCUAAUUACGCUUUCAUUGGAGUAGAAGAGAAAGAUCCCCGCAAUUUGCGAAUUUCGGUUUUCACAGUAGCCCCUCUGAUCCGCCUGACGGUACCUCGCCUUAAUGGGUAAAUGCCUAGAGUUAGACCAAGAAAAGUCUGCAGCGAUUUUGAUAGCCCACGAGCGCAGUGCAAGGUUAUUUUAAAUGUCAAACGUCUAUGAAAUUAUGACGUACAAAUAACACUUGCACUGCGUGGGCUAUCAAACCCGCAGCAGACUUUUCUUGGUCUAACUCUAGCAUACUGUAUCAAGAAUGUUUUAGUGGCAUCAUUGGCUGGCCGUAUGCUUAUUUGCCACUGACGUGGUAUAAAAAAAAAAUUAUUGACUACCAUAAUUGUUAUCUUUGACAUUUGCGUGAACAAAGGAUCGUAGCUUCUUAUAUUAUGUAAUCUCUUAGGGAGAAUGUUGAAACUAUUUUUGUGAAAUCUGAGACGGUAGCACGCUAGCUGGCCAUCUCUCUCACCCACAUAAUAUGUUGGUAACUAUUGCGAGAGAGACAACUAGCGUGCUAUCGCCACACGCUUAUAAGUCAAUCAAAGCACUGCCUUAUUCUAAGUAUAAAAAUGUUUUUCGUUAAGCGAGUUAAGCAAUAAACGACACUGCCCUGUUCACGCCAAUUUCAUUUGCAAGGAGAGUGAGCAAGACGCAAGUAUGGUGUGGAUAUUUCAGGUUCCUUCCUUCUUUUACUUCACGCACAGUAAGAAGAAUGUCCUACAUCGACCCGCCAUUUCCUAUCUCUAUCCCACGCACAUAAUUAUAUUGCUGUCCCGCUCGCAUAGUGUCAUUAACCGCCAGAAUUAUCGGCGGGAUAUCAAUAUGAUUAUAAGCGCGUGCGAGAGAGAUGGGCGGAUAAAUGUACGAAAUUAUUAUGCUUAUCUCCCUUACUUUACUAAGUUUGGCCUAUGAAUCGCCUAAAAUACAAGUUUGGAUCAUUAUUUACUCGGUUUCACUUUCGUGGACACAUUUUGGAAAAUUGGUUGUAAAUUUUGAAAUCCCCUUCUAUAAAAAACACGAUAGUGAUUUGAAGCAAAUAUACACAUAAAUUGCACCGACGCUGCUAGAAAAGGAGAGCUUUGUGAGCAUAUGUCGAAGAAUGACAAAAAUUAAAAGCGGCCAACAAUGUUCAAUUUCUCAAGGAACUCUUAGCGUAUUUACUUUUUUAUGAUAAAAUCAAACUAAGUAUAGCUUAAAUGUUUGUGGGUGCUUAUCAAAGUGUUAAAUGAAAGGCAGCUAAUAUAGGUAGGUAAUAUAAAUCUGCCUUAAAUUUAACAUUUCAUGAUAUAACCUCCUGGAAAGCCAAGAAUCAAGAUUGCAGGCGUGACAUACAAUAAAAUUCACAUUGUUUGAUUGUCAUAGAUUUGAGAGCACGCUCGGGCUAAAAUGGCAGGAAAUUUUUACGGCAGCUAAAACAAAUACAGUUUAAUAAUUAUAAGUGAACUUAGUGAAAUAUGGUCCUCUGUGCCGCGAUCACAAAGUUUGUGAGACUAUAUAAGGUGGUGGUACUGGUGCUCGACGCGGUCCCAGUACAUGGCAUCUUGAAACUUAAGUCAUUGUCAAUAGAGGUGACAGCAGGGUGUCAUCUAUUGGGCAUUAGUAUGUCGAGCACUAGUACCACCACCUUAUGCCGUUUCUACCGAUCAAGAAAACAUCUAAAUAUCUACGCGUGGUUCAGCAAAAUAAUGUAUAUACGCGUGUAAAAAUUGGCCUAACACGUCGAUCGCAUAUGGAAUUAUGCCGGUAUUCGUAGCUAUGAACAUAUGUUGUUAAAGAAAAACACAGCUCAUUAAAUCUCCUGCAAAAUCUAUAGGGAACAACCAGUCGGCUUCUCUCACCUUCAACUAGGUACUUGGAAUAAUGCACUUUCUGGCUCCCCCGUCAAAACCGCACCAAGGACCCUAAAUUACCUAUAAUAUUAAUUAUUAUGAGCUUUUAUAAUAUCUUUACAGUAUUGUAUUUGUGAUAUAAAAACCAGAACACUAUAACCAUUUGUGAAUUGUUUUUUAAUGUUUAAUCAAUUAAUUAUUAUAUCAAUUGAUGUCACGAGACAAAGUUGUUUUUGUAGGUGGUCAAAAAAUUAAAAAAAAAUGUUUGUAGGUGACGUCUCACUUGGCCAUCUGCAUAUAUAACUUUGCAGCCAAAAUGUUGCUGUAUUGAGCUUAUUGCUGUUUUAAGCAAUUGUUUUAUGACCUCAUUAAUUAAAAUAUCGGAAACCAGAUGAAACAUCGAAAUUUUAAGCGUUAAAUUAAAUAUAACCUAAAAUAAUACACUUAACCUAACUGUCAAUUUACCUACAUCACACGCAACACGCCUUGAAAUAAAAUAAAAGAAGUUUAUAUCCAUGUUACUUUAAUAGCUGCUUGUCAUAAUUGGAAAUCAAAAUUCACCUUAAAAAAACAAACUCUAAAAAGGUCGAUAAAAUAUAUUUGCGCCCCAAAUGUUAAAAUUUUUACGGUUCAUUAAUUUUUUUUUUUUUUUUUUAAUUAUGAAUGGGCUUACUCAUGGCCACAGACUAGCCGAGGCGUAGACGUGGCCUACAAUGGAGCGAGCUCGCCCAGAAGGUGCCUGUUCACUCUUGAUUUGAAGGUUGCCGGGUUAUAAGAACACGGAAAUAUAGACGCCGGCAAGGAAUUCCAUUCCUUGGCAGUGCGCAUAAGGAAAGUAGAAGCAAAAUGGCAGCCCUUUUCUCUAAUUAAUGUAAUUACUGAUAAUAUGUAUGGUAUCGGGUGAAACUUAACUCAUUUAUGAUGUUUUACGAGUGCAAAAGUUUAUUGGGUGCGUGACGUAUAUUUGAUAAACAAUUAUUGUUGACCCCAGAGUUUACAUGAAUGUAAAAUUAAGUUCCAUUGAAAGCUGACUGUAAAUUGUUUCGCCCCACUUGUUAUAAUGUUGCUCGAAUUAAAAAUGCCUUAUGACAGAAAAGAGCACUAUUUUUCCGAUUGUAACCAUUUUUAAUUUACUGGGUCCAAGACUGUUUCAAGACUAGGCUGUCGUAUUCUUCCUUAAACCUAAGUAUACACUAUCUUGUUAAUUUAUUACCACAGCUAUCAUAGUGUUGCAACAUAUUGGCUUUUUAUACCUACACAGUCGCUGAGUAGUGCGUAUCGUAUGGUAGGUGGGAUGUAUAGUGGCUGCAAAGUUUCGUUGAAAAAAGUUUCAAAUGUUUUAUGACAAUACUCAAUAAUGUGUCUUAAUAUAAACUAGUUGCAAUACCGGCAAGUUGAUUUUAAGACAUAUAAUGUUAUUGUUAUUUUAAGAUACUAUUUUAAAAAUUCUACGCAAUUUUGCAGCUUGUGCGAUCUAAUAUUUUAUAUCAAUCAAGUGUGUAGUUUGGACUCUGAGGAGUCAGAAUAAUUAAAUUAUAUUAGUUACUUGUUACAUGAAUAUAAUGGUAUAAAUAAUGGUAUUGUUUCACACGUUGUAUUGACCGAACAUUUGCUGGGAAAAAUAUUAAAUACAUGUUCUUUGAAAAUAUAAUAUCUUCAUAUACGGAA